AAAUCCAUAGGCCCCAUCCUCUUGGCUGGGGACCUGUCUUGGGCCCUCGCCUCAUGGCGUGGUCUGAAUGUCAUUGGUCUCAUCCGUGGACGAGUCCCUGUAGGGCGAGCCAUGGCUGGACCUUAAGCAACAUCUGA
This 137-nucleotide unclassified non-coding RNA is filed under the name uncultured Ascomycota. RNAcentral describes it as "sequence contains ITS2". Lineage: Eukaryota; Fungi; Ascomycota. The record is from RNAcentral.